RNAcentral lists this transfer RNA (65 nucleotides) under Epicauta aptera. RNAcentral's name for it is "tRNA-Leu". It matches the Rfam family "tRNA". Rfam says of the family: Transfer RNA (tRNA) molecules are approximately 80 nucleotides in length. Their secondary structure includes four short double-helical elements and three loops (D, anti-codon, and T loops). RNAcentral also lists the same sequence under 3 other names. The record is from RNAcentral. Lineage: Eukaryota; Metazoa; Arthropoda; Insecta; Coleoptera; Meloidae.
UCUAUUAUGGCAGAAUAGUGCAAUGGACUUAAACCCCAAAUAUAAAGGCUAGCCUUUUUAUAGAA